GACGAACGCUGGCGGCGUGCUUAACACAUGCAAGUCGAACGGAAAGGCCCUGCUUUUGUGGGGUUCUCGAGUAGCGAACGGGUGCGUAACACGUGAGUAACCUGCCCUUGACUUUGGGAUAACUUCAGGAAACUGGGGCUAAUACCGUAUAGGAGCUCCUGCUGCGUGGUGGGGGUGGGAAAGUUUCGGCGGUCGGGGUUGGACUCGCGGCUUAUCAGCUUGUUGGUGGGGUAGUGGCUUACCAAGGCUGUGACGGGUAGCCGGCCUGAGAGGGUGACCGGCCACAUUGGGACUGAGGUACGGACCAGAGGCGUACGGGAGGCAGCAGUGGGAAAUCUUGCACAAUGGGCGCAAGCCUGAUGAAGAAACGCUGCGUGCGGGAUGACGGCCUUCGGGUUGUAAACCGCUUUCGCCUGUGACGCAGCGUGAGUGACGGUAAUGGGUAAAGAAGCACCGGCUAACUACGUG
RNAcentral lists this ribosomal RNA (468 nucleotides) under uncultured bacterium. RNAcentral's name for it is "partial 16S ribosomal RNA". It matches the Rfam family "Bacterial small subunit ribosomal RNA", at positions 28 to 507 of the family's 1533-position model. The record is from RNAcentral.